ACUCCGUCGUCACUUCCGGGCCGGAGACAAAAUGGCGCCCGGAGGGGGCCGGCGGGGCCUGUCGCUCUGAGCCGGGCGGGCGCCGAGGCGCGCAGGGUUGAUGUAAACACCGGAGUUUCUUUGUUGUAUACAACUUUUCAGAAAACAUCUGGAUUUCAGAAUGUAUCAGAACUCACUCGAGCCUGCAGUAUCAGUUGAGACGUUGGCGGACGUACCUGCGCACGUGCUUAAAGGGCUUCCUGAGGAAGUCAGGCUCCUUCCAUCAGCUGUUGACAAGACACGGCUUGGUGUCUGGGCAACAAAGCCAAUUUUCAGAGGCAGAAAGUUUGGACCGUUUGUCGGUGACAAGAAGAAAAGAUCUCAAGUGAAGAGCAAUGUGUACAUGUGGGAGGUCUACUACCCCAACUUGGGCUGGAUGUGUGUUGACGCCACUGACCCCGAGAAAGGGAACUGGCUGCGCUAUGUAAACUGGGCUCGUUCAGGAAAAGAGCAGAAUCUCUUCCCCUUGGAGAUCAACAGAACCAUUUACUACAAAACCUUAAAGCCAAUUGAGCCUGGCGAAGAGCUUCUGGUGUGGUACAAUGGAGAAGACAACCCAGAGAUAGCCGCUGCAAUUGAGGAAGAGCGAGCCAGCAAUCGGAGCAAGAGGAACUCUCCGAAAGCCAAGAAAGGGAAGAAAAGAUCCCAGGAGGCUAAAAACAAAGGGAAAAAACCAAUAGACAAAAAACAGAAGACCGUUUUGGAUUUAACUGUUGUGGAAAUGCGGGAACCUAAGGAAGACCCUAAGCAGGAAGAGGAGACACCCUCGGUUUCAGCGGUGCUUUCGCUGGAACAGACAGCGGUGAUCCAGGAGAUGGUCAAUCAGGACACCCUUCCCAGCCUGGUCAUCUCCAGCCCCCUCCCGGAACCAGGUGCCACGCCAGAAGACAAAGCAGAGCUAAUGACGGGCAUCCCAAAAGUUGUAGAGGAGCAAGAGGAGGAACCAGAGGGGGAUAUGGGGGAGGAGGAGGAUGAGGACGAGGACGAGGAGGACACUAGCUCACCUAAAGAGAGUCCUGAUGCGGAACCCCUGUCCAUAUGUGAAGACAAGCUCGAAUCCACAGAGGAGCAAAGCAGCGUCUCCGAAGACUCUCCGGAAAGCUCUCCCAAGAAGAAGCCUCUGGUGAAGUUCUCCAUCCAGAGAAGCGAAUCCAACGGCAGCAUCCAGGGGCCGUUCACGUUUCCCUGCCAGCAUUGUGAGAGGAAGUUCAGUACGAAGCAGGGGCUCGAGCGCCAUAUGCACAUCCACAUCUCAGCCAUCAGCCACGCGUUCAAGUGCCGCUACUGCGGCAAAGCCUUUGGCACGCAGAUCAACCGGAGAAGGCACGAGCGGCGCCACGAGGCCGGGCCAAAGCGGAAGCCGUUCCUGGCUCCGGCCUCAGCCCAAGCAGCCGAUGGUGGAGGCAGGAACCCCGCGAUGACUGAGGAUGGCGUCCGGGAGGAGACGGCAGCCAGGCCCGAGCUCACUGCUCUGGAGACGGAGAACGCUUUGGUAGAGACGCCACAUCCCGUCCUUCUGGAAGAGUCCAAGGAGCCCAAAGAAAUGCACCCAUGCAAAUAUUGCCGGAAGGUUUUCGGCACGCACACCAACAUGCGCAGGCAUCAGCGGAGGGUCCAUGAGCGCCACCUCAUCCCCAAGGGCGUUAGGAGGAAACCCGGGGAGCCUCAGCUUCCCGCAGAGCAAACCCAGCAGGCCCCGAGCGUGUACGUAGCGAGCACAGACCUCGAGGAGGAGGAGGAGGGCGAGGCGGAUGACGUGUACCUCAUGGAUGUCUCCAGUAACAUUUCGGAAAACCUCAAUUACUACAUCGACGGCAAGAUCCAGUCCAACAGCAGCACGAGCAACUGCGACGUGAUUGAGGUAGAAGCCAGCUCCACCGAACUCUACGGAAUUAACUGUUUACUUAGCCCCGUGACGGUAGAGAUAUCCCCAAACUUAAAGGCCACACCGGUGCAUAGAUGUGAUGUGGUGAAAGACUCCCCAGUCGGCGGGGGCAGCGAACCCAAAAAGAGGAGGACGGCAAGCCCUCCCCUCCUGCCCAAGAUAAAAACCGAAAUGGAUGCAGAACCUAUAACCUCCUUGUGCUCCUUGACUAUUCCUCUCACGAUAUCGACAGCCGAGAACUUGCCUUUCCCCAAAGAGAAAAGUAUUUAUUUAUCAUCCAAACUGAAGCAGCUUCUCCAGACGCAGGAUGAGAAUAAGAUCGCCCCAUCGUCCCCGUCGUCGUCCGGUGACAUCCCCAAGCUGGGACUUGCCGCUGCCUCGUCACCUCUUCUGUCGGCUGCCUCCAGCAGGUUCAAAAGGAGAACCAGCUCCCCUCCCAGCUCCCCGCAGCACAGCCCGGCCCUUCGAGACUUUGGCAAAGCGGGCGAAGGAAAAUGCGUCUGGAACGAUGCAGUCCUGGGCUCAAAGCUCUCCAAGCUGGAGAGUCACAGAAGCUCACCUGCCUGGAGCUUACCUGGGCGAGAAGAAAAGGAGGCCCCCAGCCCCCUCUGCUCAGAAGAGCACAAAGCGUCGAAGGACUGGCUGCCUGGCCCUCCUUUUGGUAACGUGUGCAACCAGCAGCCUCUGGACUUAUCCAGCAGCGUAAAGCAGCGGUCGAACUGCAAGAGCCGGGCCCAGGUUCCCUGGGAGUCCGUUCUGGACCUCAGCAUCCAUAAAAAGCCCUGCCGAGACCCUAAGGCCAAGGAGAGUCACGUGGCUCCGCCGGAGAGCAGCUGCGUGAAGAAGAAGCCCACCACCUCCAUGCUGCAGAAGGUCCUGCUGAACGAGUACAAUGGGACGGCUGCGGCCUCAGAGAGCCCGGCCCCCGAGACCAGCCCGGGCCUCAGCGUGGGCAAGGCGGCCGGAGCCCACCUGGAGCCUGAUCCCGAGGCACGUCUCCCCCUCCCCGUGGUCAAGCCCGGCUCCCCAAGCCCCUCUCCUGAGGCACCUGUGCCGCCGGCACCCACGGUACCUUCGUGUCGGGUACCGCCUCUGCUGACGCGGUCGAACUCGCCUUCCCCCCCACCCGGCCCGCCCACGCUGAAGGCCCCUACCCCACCCCCUCCGCUCCUUCCCACCGCCCCGUCGCCUCUCCCGGAGGAGCCCCUCGGUGUCACCCUGAGCUCAUGUCCCUCCCCGUUAUCGAACGCCACGGCUCAGUCCCCUCUCCCGGUCCUUUCUCCUACGGUCUCGGCUUCUCCGGUCCCUUCUGGCAAGCCCCUUAGCUGCGUUUCGCCCGGACCUCCCAACCUGUCACCGUCCUCCUCCUCUUCCUCCCCGUCCUCUUCUUUUUCUUCCUCCUCCUCCUCCUCCUCCUCUUCCUCCUCCUCUCCUUCACCACCUCCUCUCUCUGUCGCUUCUCUAGUGCUUUCCCCUGGCGAUAACCUAGAAAAUUCAGUCCCUCUCAUAUCCUUUAAACAAGAAGAGGAGGUAGAAGACGAGCACCAGAAGCCAAGCGAAGACCCCCAUGUCUCCAGCGAGGCAGAUAUCAUCCAGGAAACGUUUAGCAAGAACUUUGUGUGCAAUGUUUGUGACGCACCUUUUCUUUCCAUUAAGGAUCUCACCAAGCAUUCAUCCAUUCACGCUGAGGAGUGGCCCUUUAAAUGUGAAUUCUGCGUCCAGUUAUUUAGGGAGAAAACAGACUUGUCAGAACAUCGCUUCUUGCUGCAUGGCGUCGGGAACAUCUUCGUCUGCUCCGUGUGUAAGAAGGAAUUUGCUUUCCUGUGCAAUCUGCAGCAGCACCAGCGGGACCUGCACCCCGACAAAGAGUGCACCCACCAGGAGUUUGAGAGCGGGACGCUGCGGCCACAGAACUUCACAGACCCCAGUAAGGCGAGUGCUGAGCACAUGCAGAGCCUGCCUGAAGACUUUGCUGAACCGUCGAAAGAGGAGGAAGAAGAUGAGGAGCUGAAUGACUCUUCAGAAGAACUUUAUACCACCAUCAAAAUCAUGGCGGCCGGAAUCAAGUCAAAGGACCCCGAUGUCCGCAUGGGCCUCAACCAGCACUACCCGAGUUUCAAGCCCCCUCCGUUCCAGUAUCACCACCGUAACCCGAAUGGCAUUGGCGUGACUGCCACAAACUUCACAACACACAAUAUCCCACAGACCUUCACCACGGCCAUCCGCUGCACCAAGUGCGGGAAGAGUGUAGACAACAUGCCGGAACUGCACAAACACAUCUUGGCUUGCGCAUCUGCCAGCGACAAGAAACGGUACACGCCCAAGAAGAACCCCGUGCCACUCAAGCAGACGGUCCGCCCGAAAAACGGCGUUGUCCUUCCCCUCUGCCAGCCCAAGAGGCUCAGCUUCAGCGUCGAGGUGAAUCGGAUGUCCCCGAACAAGCUCAGAAUCAGUGCUCUGAAGAAAAAGAACCAACUGGUCCAGAAGGCCAUUCUGCAGAAGAAGAAGUCCCAGCAGAAGGCAGAGUUGAGGAACAGCUCCAUGGAGUCCAGCUCCCAUAUCUGCCCCUACUGCAACCGGGAGUUCACAUACAUUGCGAGCUUGAACAAGCAUGCUUCCUACAGCUGUCCCAAAAAGCCCAUUUCCCCUUCCUCCAGGAAGAAAAAGAAGAGCGGGGCAUCGUCUUCCGGCAGCGACAGAAACAGCAACCUGCGCCGACGGACAGCCGAUGCCGAGAUCAAAAUGCAGAGCACGCAGGCUCAUCUGGGGAAGACCCGGGCUCGCAGCUCCGGGCCCGUGCCGAUUCAGCUCCCGUCAGCAUCUUUCAAAUUGAAACCAAACGUCAAAUUUGUACCACCCAUUCGAUCCAAGAAGGCAAGCGCCCCAUCGACAGCCAGGAAUGCCAGCCCUGUAAGGAUGGCGAAAAUGAUCGCAUCAGACAGCAAAAGAGCUAAAGGGGCGACCAAGAACGGUUCCUCCGGACUCUCGAGCAAAGCGUCCCGCAAGUUGCAUGUGAGGAUACAAAGGAGCAAAGUGGCCUUAGCCAGCAAGUCGGCAGCAACAAGCAAAAAAAGGGCCGACAGGUUCAGCGUGAAAUCCCGAGAAAGGGUUGGGGGGCCCAUCACCCGGAGCUUGCAGCUGGCCACCAGCGUGGACGCUGUGGAGAACAAGCGCGACGAGAGCAGCGCGAAGCAGGAGCCGAAAGAUUUCAGGUGCGCUUCUCACUGUCCCACACCCAACUCCUCGCUUAGGGCUUACUCACAAGUGCAACGCUUAAGCUUGCCCUGGUGACACAGCCAUUCGAGGCUCUAAAGAGACGUUUGGCUCGUGUAAAAAUCCAAGACAUGGCUGAGCUGUAUGCAGAUGCCGCUGUGAGUCAGUGGUCGCCGUUCACCUGGACCGACCACCCAUUCCAUGUGCCAACCUCAGGUCCAAAAUGACUCGGUAUUUGAGUUUUAAAAACGAUACCCCAUUUCCAUCAUUGAAGCUCUUAUUCAGGGUGACAUCUUAAAAAGAUGAAUAUAUGGAAUUAGCGUUACAAACGAAAUCCAUAAAUCCAGUAGCCUUAAACCAACACUAGAGUUUUUCAGGUAAGAAAUCUAAAACCGUAGCCCAUUAAGCAUGAUGGUUGAUUAGGAAAAGAUCUUUAAGCCUCUCCUCCUGUGGCCUGCAUCUCUUUAAAGAGGGCAUCGGCUGAGUAGUCUUGGGAAAUGCCAUCCAGAAGCGCAAAGAGGCUCCAGGAUCCUCAGCUGCCACCUGCCUGAUUUCUGGGAGGCGUUGCGCAUCACAGGUGGACAGGUUGAUGUGGUGACUGGCAGCCACGGCAAGCUGGAAGCUUGACAGAUUUGCUCAGCGAUUGUGCCGCAGCGCUUCAGUUGGAACCCACAACCACAUAUUUGCUGCAUGAAGCAUAGCCCCUGUUUCGUUCUCUUUCCUUUCCUGUCCUCCUGACCAAUGGCACCGUCCCCUGUGCCACUCGACUCGCAGGAGCCUAGUCCUCGCUGUUGGUGCGAGUGGGGUAAAGAUUGCUUCAAUAAAUGCGAAGUAGUGCAUUUUCUCCCCUUUCACACUCCAGUUACUUCUGCUUCAGUGCAAACCACUGUUCACUGUAGCACCCAAACCAUCCAUUAAUUAUGUUAAUAGCUAAUCUAAUUACACACACAUAUAUAGGCAAUUAAUAUAUCUAAGUAUGAAAAGUGACCUAAAGCAAAAGAAUGAAGAAAGCAAACAAACAGGUGACGACAUGGAAGGUUUGGGCUGGGGGGAGCCAUGGAGGCGGGACAAAUGGCAAAAGAUUAAACCUCAUCACAGACUCACACUCAGCUUAUGGAUUUAGGGUUGCCACCGUGUUGGAGCCUGGUUUAGAAUCACAGAGUAGUAGCAUUGGAAGGGGCCAGGAAGAUCAUCAGGUCCAACCCCUGCUGGUGCAGGACACCAGCUCACACCAUCCUCUGAUCCCACCCAGAUUCCUAUGAAAGGCAGUGAAAGCCGCCCUCCCCAACUCGAUGCCCCCAGAAACUCUGGGCUGGAACUCCCGACAUUCCUGGCCAUUGGCCGUGCUGGCUGUGGCUGACGGGAGUCAAACUCCAGAACACCCCGGGCACCCCCUUGCCAUGGCGCUCUUCCUCAUGGUGCAGAACCUUGCCAGAUCAGAGUCUCUGUGCCGUCGGAGGACCCGCUGCUAGGGAGCCACUGCAGUGAAGGACAGUCGCCGCGGCAGCCUGCUGUGGGGUCCCUGGAGAUGCCUGGCUGGCCUUUGUGGGAAGAAGGGGCAGCAGCCGGUGGGCCGUCGGUCUGUUCAAGCAGAGCUGCCCCAACAUGCCUUCAGGGUGUGAGAAACUGGCGGUGGCAGUCCAGCAGGGAUGAGUGGCCUGCAUAUCUGGGAUUGGUCCGAGGUGGAUGCUGGAAUAUUUGUCUGGUGCUCCCCUGUGCUGAAGUUUAAAUCGCCCUAGGUGAAGCCCAGACACAGCCUGACCCGUGACUCAUCCAGAGACACCCCAGGUGGCCUCUUUGGGCUCAGAAGGGCCAGAGUUUGUUUGUUUGUUUGUUUGUUUGUUUGUUUAAACAUUUCUAUGCCGCCCCAUUCGCUGAAGCCUCGGGGCGGCUCACAACAUAUUGAGUUGCAAUUGUGGCCCUCCGUGUGGGAGUUCCUGGGGCAGGCAGACUCCCAGCGGCCAGUAAAAGCGACGCCACUCUUCACUGGCCAGGUGUGGCACUUAAGGCUGAAACAGAGCGCAAGCCACAGGGUUGCAUCUCUCUUGCACUCUCCUUCCCUAGCAGAAAAUCCUUCCAGCCUCGGGCAGCCAUUCUCUUCCCAACCAGUGUCUUUGUGGCAUCCGUGGAUCAACUCAAAGGACAGGAGGGUCACACGGAUGCCAGAAGACGGGCAGCAAAGGAAGCUGUUUCCAGCAGGGACUAAUGUGUUCUCUACCUUUGAACCGACCAGCUCUGCAUACAACUGCCAGCCACUUGUCAAAUGGGAGUAAGCCACAUUGAACUGGGAACCUGCUGUAACACAACGGCAAGCAGAAGACCUCCGGACUGUAAAUGAAAUUUCCGAACUGACCGGCUUGAGCUGUGUCCCCCUCAGCUUGGACAGGAUGAGCACGGAGGGCCGAUCGCCCAGGCCUGAGAACCGGCCCGAGCCAGCUUCUCCCGUCCAGGGAGGGUGCAGAGCACCAGAGCUGGAUUUGGAACGCGCCAGCCAGGCGGGAGGAAUCCGUGGCUGCAGAGAGAGAAGGGGGGCACGCAGAUGCUCCUCUCCUGCAGUCUUUUGUUUUUAGGAACAUGGAGCAAACGCCACUGGAGCAAACCCCGGCCACGGAGUUCGCAGCUUGUGCUUCUACUUGCUUCUGUCCGAUGGGAAAGCAGCCCGUGGACAGAGAGGCUGCUGCCACAAUGAAUGCCAGGCAGGCCCUCUUCAGACGCUCCCAGUAUAUUCAGGGAUGACAAAACGUUAACUGCACUCAACGUAUUUUUGGUCGCAAAUCAAGUCUCUACAAGCCUUUGUUUUAUACCAGCAUGACGAGACUAGCGAGAGAGGAGGAUGCCUUCUCUCUCAGAGCCCCCCACUCCCUGGCACUCACUGGCCAGACUUUUUUCGUUUUGUUUCCGUUUUAAGGAGCGGUGGAAGCGGGCGCAGGAGUUGCUUGCUUCCCCCCGUCUUCUGGUUUCUGCAUGGGGUGGUGGGUGGGAGAGGCAGAGGGAGGAAGCCGGGUUGGUCCCACUACCCUUGACGGCACCCAGGUCGGAAGUCUGUCGAUGAGGAUGUUGCCCACAAGUUACCGUGAAUCGAACCGUUCACCCUCUAAAGUUGUAUAGCACAAAUGAACACAUAGGUGAAAUUACUGUUAAUUGGCUGGUGUAUCCAAUAACAAGAGCCACCUUUUUCCCUAGCUGUAUAACAACAUUAUUAUUUUCCCUCCUGAAAAAAUGCAGUUCUGUUUGGUUUUGUUCCCAUACACCAGGAGGGAAUGAGCCUUCGGAUGGCAAAGAGCAGUUAGUUUCAUUUGAGCACCCCAUUUUUAAAAUCAUAUUCGUUCUUGACUUAAAAAAGUAAUCUACCUCUUAAAAUUUGUAGUUUUAAUAUUGUUUUGGUGACUUUGUGCCACUUUAACCACCUUCUCUUUCACUAUCAUUCCCUUUUUUGUUACAUUUUUUCUGGUUUGUGGGGACUUCUAUGUCGAACUAUUGUAUAAAGCAUUUGUAGCAAGUUUGAAAUAAAAUAAAAUAUUUAAAAUUA
Varanus komodoensis (Komodo dragon) is the source of this 8666-nucleotide RNA transcript. It is a transcript of the gene named PR/SET domain 2, with no coding region annotated. The transcript is spliced from 9 exons. Lineage: Eukaryota; Metazoa; Chordata; Lepidosauria; Squamata; Varanidae. The record is from RefSeq and is a predicted model, not a curated record.